GAGUUUGAUCUUGGCUCAGAUUGAACGCUGGCGGCAUGCCUUACACAUGCAAGUCGAACGGUAACAGGUUAAGCUGACGAGUGGCGAACGGGUGAGUAAUACAUCGGAACGUGCCCAGACGUGGGGGAUAGCUCGGCGAAAGCCGGAUUAAUACCGCAUGUGAUCUGAGGAUGAAAGCGGGGGACCGUAAGGCCUCGCGCGUUUGGAGCGGCCGAUGGCAGAUUAGGUAGUUGGUGGGGUAAAGGCUUACCAAGCCUACGAUCUGUAGCUGGUCUGAGAGGACGACCAGCCACACUGGGACUGAGACACGGCCCAGACUCCUACGGGAGGCAGCAGUGGGGAAUUUUGGACAAUGGGCGCAAGCCUGAUCCAGCAAUGCCGCGUGCAGGAUGAAGGCCUUCGGUUGUAAC
RNAcentral lists this ribosomal RNA (410 nucleotides) under uncultured beta proteobacterium. RNAcentral's name for it is "bacterial SSU rRNA". It matches the Rfam family "Bacterial small subunit ribosomal RNA", at positions 9 to 429 of the family's 1533-position model. The record is from RNAcentral. Lineage: Bacteria; Pseudomonadati; Pseudomonadota; Betaproteobacteria.